AGAGUUUGAUCAUGGCUCAGAUUGAACGCUGGCGGCAGGCCUAACACAUGCAAGUCGAGCGGUAGCACAGGGGAGCUUGCUCCCUGGGUGACGAGCGGCGGACGGGUGAGUAAUGUCUGGGAAACUGCCUGAUGGAGGGGGAUAACUACUGGAAACGGUAGCUAAUACCGCAUAACGUCGCAAGACCAAAGAGGGGGACCUUCGGGCCUCUUGCCAUCAGAUGUGCCCAGAUGGGAUUAGCUAGUAGGUGGGGUAAUGGCUCACCUAGGCGACGAUCCCUAGCUGGUCUGAGAGGAUGACCAGCCACACUGGAACUGAGACACGGUCCAGACUCCUACGGGAGGCAGCAGUGGGGAAUAUUGCACAAUGGGCGCAAGCCUGAUGCAGCCAUGCCGCGUGUAUGAAGAAGGCCUUCGGGUUGUAAAGUACUUUCAGCGAGGAGGAAGGCAUUAAGGUUAAUAACCUUGUUGAUUGACGUUACUCGCAGAAGAAGCACCGGCUAACUCCGUGCCAGCAGCCGCGGUAAUACGGAGGGUGCAAGCGUUAAUCGGAAUUACUGGGCGUAAAGCGCACGCAGGCGGUCUGUCAAGUCGGAUGUGAAAUCCCCGGGCUCAACCUGGGAACUGCAUUCGAAACUGGCAGGCUAGAGUCUUGUAGAGGGGGGUAGAAUUCCAGGUGUAGCGGUGAAAUGCGUAGAGAUCUGGAGGAAUACCGGUUGCGAAGGCGGCCCCCUGGACAAAGACUGACGCUCAGGUGCGAAGCGUGGGGAGCAAACAGGAUUAAAUACCCUGGUAGUCCCCGCCGUAA
Molecule: ribosomal RNA, 807 nt
Filed under: uncultured bacterium
Lineage: Bacteria
Description: bacterial SSU rRNA
Rfam family: Bacterial small subunit ribosomal RNA
Source: RNAcentral